GCAAGGAAUUUUGUGCAAUGGGCGAAAGCCUGACACAGCGACGCCGCGUGAGGGAUGAAUGCCUUCGGGUUGUAAACCUCUUUUCUCAGGGACGAAUAAUGACGGUACCUGAGGAAUAAGUCUCGGCUAACUACGUGCCAGCAGCCGCGGUAAUACGUAGGAGGCUAGCGUUAUCCGGAUUUAUUGGGCGUAAGGAGCGCGUAGGCGGCUCUUCAAGUCGGAUGUAAAAUCUCCUGGCUUAACUAGGAGGGACCAUUCGAUACUGUUGGGCUGGAGGGCAGCAGAGGAAGAUGGAAUUCCCGGUGUAGUGGUGAAAUGCGUAGAUAUCGGGAGGAACACCAGUGGCGAAGGCGGUCUUCUGGGCUGUUCCUGACGCUGAGGCGCGAAAGCGUGGGGAGCGAACAGGAUUAGAAACCCCAGUAGUCC
RNAcentral lists this ribosomal RNA (426 nucleotides) under uncultured bacterium. Its description in RNAcentral is "bacterial SSU rRNA". It matches the Rfam family "Bacterial small subunit ribosomal RNA", at positions 354 to 796 of the family's 1533-position model. The record is from RNAcentral.